RNAcentral lists this ribosomal RNA (253 nucleotides) under uncultured bacterium. RNAcentral describes it as "partial 16S ribosomal RNA". It matches the Rfam family "Bacterial small subunit ribosomal RNA", at positions 524 to 776 of the family's 1533-position model. The record is from RNAcentral.
UACGUAGGGAGCAAGCGUUGUCCGGAAUCAUUGGGCGUAAAGCGCGCGUAGGCGGCCCUGUAAGUCCGUUGUGAAAGUCAAAGGCUCAACCUUUGAAAGCCGAUGGAUACUGCAGGGCUAGAGUCCGGAAGAGGCGAGUGGAAUUCCUGGUGUAGCGGUGAAAUGCGCAGAUAUCAGGAGGAACACCAAUAGCGAAGGCAGCUCGCUGGGACGGUACUGACGCUAAGGCGCGAAAGCGUGGGGAGCGAACAGG